Long non-coding RNA from Lytechinus variegatus (green sea urchin), 465 nucleotides. RefSeq lists it as uncharacterized. The record is from RefSeq and is a predicted model, not a curated record. The transcript is spliced from 3 exons. Lineage: Eukaryota; Metazoa; Echinodermata; Echinoidea; Temnopleuroida; Toxopneustidae.
CUUGGCCCGAAUUCACAAAGGUGGUUUCUGCAGAAACCAUGGUUUCAACCGUGGGUUUUGCUGAUUUUGGUAUUCACAAAUGUGGUUUCAAAUGAAACCAUGGUUUCAACCGUGGGUUUUCGGCAUGAUUUUGAGUCAACUGUUUUAGGUGGUUUCAAACCGUGGGUUUUAGGAAAACCAUGAUUUUUAGGCACAUUGACCAAUCACAGGACAGUAUUUCGGUACAUUGAUGGGCAAGUGGAGAAAGACGACGAUAAAUAGACUUGCACGAAAAGAAAAGAAGCGAAGCGUAUAAAGUCAGUUUUUGCCGAGCUGCUCUAACAUCUAAAUUUUGGAAUGGAUGAAAACAUCUUGCAAGAUGUACAGGCUGUCGAAAGAAAAGGAGUAUUGUUAUAGAAGAGUCUAACUCAAUAGGAAUAUGCCAACCAGAACUGCAUUUAGUAUUCCGUGACAGGAGGAACCUUU